This 559-nucleotide long non-coding RNA is filed under the name Phoenix dactylifera (date palm). RNAcentral's name for it is "long non-coding RNA (PDAC_LNC020360)". The record is from RNAcentral. Lineage: Eukaryota; Viridiplantae; Streptophyta; Magnoliopsida; Arecales; Arecaceae.
UAAGUUGCAUGAAGUAGAAAACAUAUAUAUGUAAAAACAUACUUCAUGAUAAUGCUUUAGAUUUAAUCAGCUUAACACAAUUAACAUAUUUAAAUUUUAAGCUGAUUUGUAUUCAAUUCAAAGUAUAUAUAUAGCAUAUACUUAGAUAUUUCUCCCCCUUUUUGACAACAUCAAAAAGAUAGUGAAACAUUAAGCACAAAGAUCAGAGCAGAACACAUCGAGUGUGAAUUCAAGAGGUUUUCUAAUUUGAUACCACAGAUAGUUUUCUAAUCAAGUGUAGGUGGAAUCUUCCUUAGGUUAAUUCAAGAAGUACUACAAAUGAUAUUCAAGAAAAAACAUGAGUGGAAAUCUAACCUCUCUUCACUGAGUAUGAAAGCUUGUUCGUUCAAGACCUUUUGCCCAAUCUAUUAAGUAUUUUAUCAACCAUGAGAGCAAUUUAAUUAAUUUUCUUAAUGACUUCAAAGUUCUUUUAUGAUAAUAGGAGCAUUGGGGCACAAAUAUCAAAAUAUACAUUCAUGCAAUUUUUGAUACAUCUUAGAGCUCUUUUAAAGACUUUCUU